This 468-nucleotide ribosomal RNA is filed under the name uncultured bacterium. RNAcentral describes it as "partial 16S ribosomal RNA". It matches the Rfam family "Bacterial small subunit ribosomal RNA", at positions 28 to 507 of the family's 1533-position model. The record is from RNAcentral.
GACGAACGCUGGCGGCGUGCUUAACACAUGCAAGUCGAACGGAAAGGCCCUGCUUUUGUGGGGUGCUCAAGUGGCGAACGGGUGAGUAACACGUGAGUAACCUGCCCUUGACUUUGGGAUAACUUCAGGAAACUGGGGCUAAUACCGGAUAGGAGCUCCUGCUGCAUGGUGGGGGUUGGAAAGUUUCGGCGGUUGGGGAUGGACUCGCGGCUUAUCAGCUUGUUGGUGGGGUAGUGGCUCACCAAGGCUUUGACGGGUAGCCGGCCUGAGAGGGUGACCGGCCACAUUGGGACUGAGAUACGGCCCAGACUCCUACGGGAGGCAGCAGUGGGGAAUAUUGCACAAUGGGCGGAAGCCUGAUGCAGCAACGCCGCGUGCGGGAUGACGGCCUUCGGGUUGUAAACCGCUUUCGCCUGUGACGAAGCGUGAGUGACGGUAAUGGGUAAAGAAGCACCGGCUAACUACGUG